Molecule: long non-coding RNA, 1563 nt
Organism: Aphis gossypii (cotton aphid)
Lineage: Eukaryota; Metazoa; Arthropoda; Insecta; Hemiptera; Aphididae
Exons: 3
Source: RefSeq, a predicted model, not a curated record
UAAACUUAUAAGAUUAUAAGCACGAUGUGAUUGUAAGAUUUAAUAAUUAUUGAAUUGGCUCGAAUCGAGUCGUUAAUGUUAAUAAAGUUUUACUUUUUAAUAUUUAUCAGUUUUAAGUGUUUAAAUUUUAAUAAUGCACAUAUUAUGUUAUAAUAAAGUUCAAGUUUAAUAUUUACAUUAUAAAAAGUUCUUGAAUAUAUUUUUCUUAUCUACCACAUAUUGUAUUUUAUUUAAUAUUUUAAUCAAAUAAGCAAGUACCUAAAGUGGUUAAUCACAUGACAAUUGAAUACUUGGCGAGUAGGUACAUAAUAUAAAUAAUAUUAUGUACAAUUUGUUGUUUAAUCAUUUAUACAUCUACAAUUGUUGUUUAAAUGUAUAGCAUAUGGUUUGCUGUUACCCAGUGGAUAAUAAAUGCGUUGUUAUAUAAUCAAGUAUCAUAGCAUUACAUAAAAAUAUUACUAACAACUAAGAUGUGUCAGCCAGUUAUUGAGUUUUGUUUAUUUUGUUACUUCAAUUUGGCACAUAGAUAGUCCUAGACUAUUUAUAUUUACUACAAACAUACUUAAACAGAUGAUUUAAUUCAUAAAAAAAAGUGAUUAUAAAAUAAUUCAUACACAUAAUAAUAUAUUAUGAUUCCAAAUUGGAAUUUGAAUAUGCAAUAGUAAAAUCUAAUAUCAUAUACACUUUGGAAGAUCUUCUAUGUUAAAAUGAUAUUUAUACUACCAUUUCCAAUUACAUUUAAAAAUACCAAUAUUUUGAUAACAGUGAAAAAUAAAAUAUUGCUUCACGUAUUAGAUUUAAAUAUGACUACAAAAUAAAUUAAGUGUAAUCAAGUUAAUAAUUGCAAGAAGUGGAAAAAAAUCUAUUAGGAUUAACUGCACAUUAUAAAUUACACAUAUAUAUUAUGAUUCCAAAUUAGAAUUUGAAUAUGCAAUAGUGAAAUCUAAUAUCACAUACACUUUGGAAGAUCCUCUAUGUUAAAAUGAUAUUUAUACUACCAUUUCCAAUUACAUUUAAAAAUACCGAUAUUUUGAUAACAGUGAAAAAUAAAAUAUUGCUUCACGUAUUAGAUUUAAAUAUGACUACAAAAUAAAUUAAGUAAGUAUAAAUUUGUUUAACUGUAAUUUUAUUUAAUUAUUAUAAUGACAAAUAAAUUUUUUAGGUGCAGGUUAGGUUAACCUAACCUAUGCAUACACUGCAACUUUAUUAUAUUGUUAGGUAAUAUAUGUAUAAGUGUUACUUAAAAUCGAUUUAAGUGUCGCCUAAGCCCAGUUUUCUAUACUUUUGAAUAAUUAAACCUAAUUUCGCAUACAUAUUUGAACAUACGAUUACACUCUUAUAGUAAAAUAUUAACAUCAUCUUUAAUGAAAAUGGUUAGUAAGAGGCAAAAACUUCAUAAAACAAUCUUAUUUUAUAACAUGUAAAAGUAUUUAUUUUUUUAUGUAAUAUAACAUUGUUUUUAUUUGUCAAAAUACACCUACUCUAACUGUAGUUAAGAAAUGGCUCAAUUAAAUAUACUUACAUACCUAAGUAUUAUUAACAAAUAAUAAUAUAAUUGGUAAU